RNAcentral lists this ribosomal RNA (581 nucleotides) under uncultured bacterium. RNAcentral describes it as "bacterial SSU rRNA". It matches the Rfam family "Bacterial small subunit ribosomal RNA", at positions 102 to 679 of the family's 1533-position model. The record is from RNAcentral.
ACGGGUGAGUAAUGUCUGGGAAACUGCCUGAUGGAGGGGGAUAACUACUGGAAACGGUAGCUAAUACCGCAUAACGUCGCAAGACCAAAGAGGGGGACCUUCGGGCCUCUUGCCAUCAGAUGUGCCCAGAUGGGAUUAGCUAGUAGGUGGGGUAACGGCUCACCUAGGCGACGAUCCCUAGCUGGUCUGAGAGGAUGACCAGCCACACUGGAACUGAGACACGGUCCAGACUCCUACGGGAGGCAGCAGUGGGGAAUAUUGCACAAUGGGCGCAAGCCUGAUGCAGCCAUGCCGCGUGUAUGAAGAAGGCCUUCGGGUUGUAAAGUACUUUCAGCGGGGAGGAAGGCGAUAAGGUUAAUAACCUUGUCGAUUGACGUUACCCGCAGAAGAAGCACCGGCUAACUCCGUGCCAGCAGCCGCGGUAAUACGGAGGGUGCAAGCGUUAAUCGGAAUUACUGGGCGUAAAGCGCACGCAGGCGGUCUGUCAAGUCGGAUGUGAAAUCCCCGGGCUCAACCUGGGAACUGCAUUCGAAACUGGCAGGCUAGAGUCUUGUAGAGGGGGGUAGCAUUCCAGGUGUAGC